AGAGUUUGAUCAUGGCUCAGAACGAACGCUGGCGGCGUGCUUAACACAUGCAAGUCGAACGCGAACGAGUUCUUCGGAACUUUAGUAGAGUGGCGCACGGGUGAGUAACGCGUAAGUAAUCUACCCUCGCAUUUGGGAUAACCCACCGAAAGGUGUGCUAAUACCGGAUACGUCUAUUUUAAUUCUUUUUUUAUAGAGAAAGGUGGCCUCUGAUUCAAGCUACUGUGCGGGGAGGAGCUUGCGUACCAUUAGCUAGUUGGUAGGGUAAAGGCCUACCAAGGCGAUGAUGGUUAGCGGGUCUGAGAGGAUGAUCCGCCACACUGGAACUGAAACACGGACCAGACUCCUACGGGAGGCAGCAGUGAGGAAUUUUGCGCAAUGGGGGAAACCCUGACGCAGCAACGCCGCGUGAGUGAUGAAGGCUUUCGGGUCGUAAAGCUCUGUCAAGUGAGAAGAAACCAUAUGGUGUUAAUAUCGCUAUAUGCUGACGGUACCACUGAAGGAAGCACCGGCUAACUCCGUGCCAGCAGCCGCGGUAAUACGGGGGGUGCGAGCGUUAUUCGGAUUUACUGGGCGUAAAGAGCGCGUAGGCGGUCUUUCAAGUCAGGUGUGAAAGCCCGGGGCUCAACCCCGGAGGUGCACUUGAAACUAAAAGACUUGAGUAUGGGAGAGGGAAGUGGAAUUCCUGGUGUAGCGGUGAAAUGCGUAGAUAUCAGGAGGAACAUCGGUGGCGAAGGC
This 738-nucleotide ribosomal RNA is filed under the name uncultured bacterium. RNAcentral's name for it is "bacterial SSU rRNA". It matches the Rfam family "Bacterial small subunit ribosomal RNA", at positions 8 to 722 of the family's 1533-position model. The record is from RNAcentral.